AACGUAGGACGCGAGCGUUAUCCGGAGUUACUGGGCGUAAAGCGCGGGCAGGCGGUCUGACAAGUCUGAUGUGAAAUCUCCGGGCUCAACCUCGGAACUGCCCUUGAAACUGCAGUGCUAGAAUCUUGGAGAGGCGAGUGGAAUUCCGAGUGUAGAGGUGAAAUUCGUAGAUAUUCGGAAGAACACCAGUGGCGAAGGCGACUCGCUGGACAAGUAUUGACGCUGAGGUGCGAAAGCGUGGGGAGCAAACAGG
This 253-nucleotide ribosomal RNA is filed under the name uncultured bacterium. RNAcentral describes it as "partial 16S ribosomal RNA". It matches the Rfam family "Bacterial small subunit ribosomal RNA", at positions 524 to 776 of the family's 1533-position model. The record is from RNAcentral.